This 406-nucleotide ribosomal RNA is filed under the name uncultured bacterium. RNAcentral's name for it is "partial 16S ribosomal RNA". It matches the Rfam family "Bacterial small subunit ribosomal RNA", at positions 29 to 526 of the family's 1533-position model. The record is from RNAcentral.
AUUGAACGCUGGCGGCAGGCCUAACACAUGCAAGUCGAACGAGUGGCGGACGGGUGAGUAAUGUCUGGGAAACUGCCUGAUGGAGGGGGAUAACUACUGGAAACGGUAGCUAAUACCGCAUACCAUCGGAUGUGCCCAGAUGGGAUUAGCUAGUAGGUGGGGUAAAGGCUCACCUAGGCGACGACCCCUAGCUGGUCUGAGAGGAUGACCGCCAACACGGGACCUGGGAAACGGUCCAGCUCCCAAGGGGAGGCAGCAUGGGGGAAUAUUGCACAAUGGGCGCAAGCCUGAGGCAGCCAUGCCGCGGUUAUGAAGAAGGCCUUCGGUUUGUAAAGAACUUUCAGCGGGGAGGCGUUACCCGCAGAAGAAGCACCGGCUAACUCCGUGCCAGCAGCCGCGGUAAUAC